UACGGAAGGCAGCAGUGGGGAAUAUUGCACAAUGGGCGCAAGCCUGAUGCAGCCAUGCCGCGUGUAUGAAAAAGGCCUUCGGGUUGUAAAGUACUUUCAGUCGUGAGGAAGGUGUUAAGGUUAAUAACCUUAGCAAUUGACGUUAGCGACAGAAGAAGCACCGGCUAACUCCGUGCCAGCAGCCGCGGUAAUACGGAGGGUGCGAGCGUUAAUCGGAAUUACUGGGCGUAAAGGGCACGCAGGCGGUUAAUUAAGUUGGAUGUGAAAUCCCCCGGGCUUAAACCUGGGAAUGGCAUUCAAGACUGGUUAGCUAGAGUCUUGUAGAGGGGGUAGAAUUCCAUGUGUAGCGGUGAAAUGCGUAGAGAUGUGGAGGAAUACCGGUGGCGAAGGCGGCCCCUGGACAAAGACUGACGCUCAUGUGCGAAAGCGUGGGGAGCAAAACAGGGAUUAGAUACC
RNAcentral lists this ribosomal RNA (456 nucleotides) under uncultured bacterium. RNAcentral's name for it is "bacterial SSU rRNA". It matches the Rfam family "Bacterial small subunit ribosomal RNA", at positions 340 to 786 of the family's 1533-position model. The record is from RNAcentral.